Molecule: ribosomal RNA, 450 nt
Filed under: uncultured bacterium
Lineage: Bacteria
Description: bacterial SSU rRNA
Rfam family: Bacterial small subunit ribosomal RNA
Source: RNAcentral
AACGAACGCUGGCGGCAUGCCUAACACAUGCAAGUCGAACGAAGCCUUCGGGCUUAGUGGCGCACGGGUGCGUAACACGUGGGAAUCUGCCCUUCGGUUCGGAAUAACAGUUAGAAAUGACUGCUAAUACCGGAUGAUGACGAAAGUCCAAAGAUUUAUCGCCGAAGGAUGAGCCCGCGUAGGAUUAGGUAGUUGGUAGGGUAAUGGCCUACCAAGCCGACGAUCCUUAGCUGGUCUGAGAGGAUGAUCAGCCACACUGGGACUGAGACACGGCCCAGACUCCUACGGGAGGCAGCAGUGGGGAAUAUUGGACAAUGGGCGAAAGCCUGAUCCAGCAAUGCCGCGUGAGUGAUGAAGGCCUUAGGGUUGUAAAGCUCUUUUACCAGGGAUGAUAAUGACAGUACCUGGAUAAUAAGCUCCGGCUAACUCCGUGCCAGCAGCCGCGGUAAU